Molecule: long non-coding RNA, 938 nt
Organism: Brassica napus (rape)
Lineage: Eukaryota; Viridiplantae; Streptophyta; Magnoliopsida; Brassicales; Brassicaceae
Exons: 3
Source: RefSeq, a predicted model, not a curated record
CCCUUAAUUAAGCGCCACAAGAGACGUCCCUUACGGGACACGUGUCGCGACAUCUCCAUCUCUCUCUCAUCUUCUGAACUUCUCCGUGAAGACUUCCACCGCCAGAAUCACCGCCGUCUCAGUCGCUUCACCACGUCCUCAUCAAUCGUCGCCAUAAGAAAGGAGUACGCCAAUCGGUGGAACCAGCACGGUCUCGGUGGAGAUAACGUGAAGGGGAUUGACUCUCGUUUUGACUCUCUUUGAUCUUUUUUUUUUUUUUGCAGAAGCCUGAUUUGGAUUUUCGUUUGAAUUUUAAUUUGGGUUGGGGUCAAUUGAGGAGAUUCAAGUCGCAUAAGAAAGGAGUACGCCAAUUGAAAAGGGUUUAGUUUAGUUUUUGUGAUUUUCUUUGGUCUGAUAGCGAUAGAGGUAGUGGAAGAUGGGUAUGAGUUUUUCGCUAAACGGAGAUUAGUGACUAUCUUCUCUGCUCCAAACUAUGGCUGGGAGUUUGACAAUGCAGGUGCAUUAUCGAGCGUGGACCAAUCUCUUGUCUGCUCUUUUGAGAUUCUGAAACCUGCCCCAUCUUCAAGCGGUAUUGCUCUCAAAAAGGGAUCUUUAAGGGAGGAAGACCAGUGGUUAUAUGAAUGAUAUUCAAGAGUUUGAGCCUGUGGUAAGGCCGCCAACGAUGGAAUCAAACUAUCCUUUGCUGGAGAUUGAAGAGGUUGUGGCUGGUGGUGAUGGAAUCAAACUAUCCUCAUAGCAACUGUGUACGUGCCUACUGCUAAAGGACCUUUCCUUGAGGAUCUCUCUCGCUCUGUGGUGCCUCCAAAGAAGCCAAGCAUAGCUGAGGAGCCUGCAACAUCUCUGUCUCCGGCAUAAGAAAGUUGUCAAUAAUUGCUAAGUGCUUGUCGAAAGUCUUUUCACUUCUUGUAUCACGGCAAGAUUAAUGACAAUAAUUUAUA